GUGCUUGCUUCAGCAGCACAUAUACUAAAAUUGGAACGAUACAAAGAAGAUUAGCAUG
Tupaia belangeri (northern tree shrew) is the source of this 58-nucleotide small nuclear RNA. Lineage: Eukaryota; Metazoa; Chordata; Mammalia; Scandentia; Tupaiidae. The record is from Ensembl.